UGCAAGUCGAACGAUGAAGCCCAGCUUGCUGGGUGGAUUAGUGGCGAACGGGUGAGUAACACGUGAGUAACCUGCCCUUAACUCUGGGAUAAGCCUGGGAAACUGGGUCUAAUACCGGAUAGGAGCGUCCACCGCAUGGUGGGUGUUGGAAAGAUUUAUCGGUUUUGGAUGGACUCGCGGCCUAUCAGCUUGUUGGUGAGGUAAUGGCUCACCAAGGCGACGACGGGUAGCCGGCCUGAGAGGGUGACCGGCCACACUGGGACUGAGACACGGCCCAGACUCCUACGGGAGGCAGCAGUGGGGAAUAUUGCACAAUGGGCGAAAGCCUGAUGCAGCGACGCCGCGUGAGGGAUGACGGCCUUCGGGUUGUAAACCUCUUUCAGUAGGGAAGAAGCGAAAGUGACGGUACCUGCAGAAGAAGCACCGGCUAACUACGUGCCAGCAGCCGCGGUAAUACGUAGGGUGCGAGCGUUAUCCGGAAUUAUUGGGCGUAAAGAGCUCGUAGGCGGUUUGUCGCGUCUGUCGUGAAAGUCCGGGGCUUAACCCCGGAUCUGCGGUGGGUACGGGCAGACUAGAGUGCAGUAGGGGAGACUGGAAUUCCUGGUGUAGCGGUGGAAUGCGCAGAUAUCAGGAGGAACACCGAUGGCGAAGGCAGGUCUCUGGGCUGUAACUGACGCUGAGGAGCGAAAGCAUGGGGAGCGAACAGGAUUAGAUACCCUGGUAGUCCAUGCCGUAAACGUUGGGCACUAGGUGUGGGGACCAUUCCACGGUUUCCGCGCCGCAGCUAACGCAUUAAGUGCCCCGCCUGGGGAGUACGGCCGCAAGGCUAAAACUCAAAGGAAUUGACGGGGGCCCGCACAAGCGGCGGAGCAUGCGGAUUAAUUCGAUGCAACGCGAAGAACCUUACCAAGGCUUGACAUGUUCUCGAUCGCCGUAGAGAUACGGUUUCCCCUUUGGGGGCGGGUUCACAGGUGGUGCAUGGUUGUCGUCAGCUCGUGUCGUGAGAUGUUGGGUUAAGUCCCGCAACGAGCGCAACCCUCGUUCCAUGUUGCCAGGCGCGUCGUGGUGGGGACUCAUGGGAGACUGCCGGGGUCAACUCGGAGGAAGGUGAGGACGACGUCAAAUCAUCAUGCCCCUUAUGUCUUGGGCUUCACGCAUGCUACAAUGGCCGGUACAAUGGGUUGCGAUACUGUGAGGUGGAGCUAAUCCCAAAAAGCCGGUCUCAGUUCGGAUUGGGGUCUGCAACUCGACCCCAUGAAGUCGGAGUCGCUAGUAAUCGCAGAUCAGCAACGCUGCGGUGAAUACGUUCCCGGGCCUUGUACACACCGCCCGUCAAGUCACGAAAGUUGGUAACACCCGAAGCCGGUGGCCUAACCCUUG
This 1380-nucleotide ribosomal RNA is filed under the name Micrococcus sp. Its description in RNAcentral is "bacterial SSU rRNA". It matches the Rfam family "Bacterial small subunit ribosomal RNA". Lineage: Bacteria; Bacillati; Actinomycetota; Actinomycetes; Micrococcales; Micrococcaceae. The record is from RNAcentral.